The sequence is a transfer RNA, 118 nucleotides long. It matches the Rfam family "tRNA". Rfam says of the family: Transfer RNA (tRNA) molecules are approximately 80 nucleotides in length. Their secondary structure includes four short double-helical elements and three loops (D, anti-codon, and T loops). The record is from Rfam.
GGCAACGUGCCUGAGUGGUUAAAGGGUAUGACUAGAACCCGUUGGCUGGAUCAUCUGAUUCAUCCAACUGAGCAAUCAUAUGGCUUCGGCCUCACAGGUUCGAAUCCUGUCGUUGUCG